AGAGUUUGAUCCUGGCUCAGAUUGAACGCUGGCGGCAUGCCUUACACAUGCAAGUCGAACGGUAACAGGUCUUCGGAUGCUGACGAGUGGCGAACGGGUGAGUAAUACAUCGGAACGUGCCCGAGAGUGGGGGAUAACGAAGCGAAAGCUUUGCUAAUACCGCAUACGAUCUCAGGAUGAAAGCAGGGGACCGCAAGGCCUUGCGCUCACGGAGCGGCCGAUGGCAGAUUAGGUAGUUGGUGGGAUAAAAGCUUACCAAGCCGACGAUCUGUAGCUGGUCUGAGAGGACGACCAGCCACACUGGGACUGAGACACGGCCCAGACUCCUACGGGAGGCAGCAGUGGGGAAUUUUGGACAAUGGGCGCAAGCCUGAUCCAGCCAUGCCGCGUGCAGGAUGAAGGCCUUCGGGUUGUAAACUGCUUUUGUACGGAACGAAAAGACUUUGGUUAAUACCUGGGGUCCAUGACGGUACCGUAAGAAUAAGCACCGGCUAACUACGUGCCAGCAGCCGCGGUAAUACGUAGGGUGCGAGCGUUAAUCGGAAUUACUGGGCGUAAAGCGUGCGCAGGCGGUUAUAUAAGACAGAUGUGAAAUCCCCGGGCUCAACCUGGGAACUGCAUUUGUGACUGUAUAGCUAGAGUACGGCAGAGGGGGAUGGAAUUCCGCGUGUAGCAGUGAAAUGCGUAGAUAUGCGGAGGAACACCGAUGGCGAAGGCAAUCCCCUGGGCCUGUACUGACGCUCAUGCACGAAAGCGUGGGGGAGCAAACAGGAUUAGAUACCCUGGUAGUCCACGCCCUA
This 800-nucleotide ribosomal RNA is filed under the name uncultured bacterium. RNAcentral describes it as "bacterial SSU rRNA". It matches the Rfam family "Bacterial small subunit ribosomal RNA", at positions 8 to 804 of the family's 1533-position model. The record is from RNAcentral.